AAAAUUUUAAAGGUCGAACAGACCCAAAUGCCUAACUUCUACACCAGGCCUUAACUUUAAUCCAACAUCGAGGUCGCAAACCCUUCUUUCGAUUGGGACUCUUAAGAAAGAUUACGCUGUUAUCCCUGAGGUAAUUUUAUCUUAUAAUCACAAAAAAUGGAUCAAUUUUUCAUAAAUAAAUGUAAUAAUUAAAAAAAAGUUUUUCUAAUUUUUCGAUCACCCCAACCAAAUACUAAAUUCCAUUAACCAACUAAAAAUACUAUAGGAAGAUUAAUACAACUCUAUAUAAAAUUCUACAGGGUCUUCUCGUCUUUUAAUAUUAUUUAAGCUUUCUUACUUAAAUAUAAAAUUCAAUUAAAAUUAACUAGAGACAGUCAUUCUCUCAUCCUACCGUUCAUGCCAGCUUCCAAUUAAGAAACUAAUUAUUAUGCUACCUUUGCACGGUCAAGAUACCGCGGCCCUUUAAUUACUCAGUGGGCAGGCAAGACCUAAAAUAAUAAUCAAUAGGCC
This 510-nucleotide ribosomal RNA is filed under the name Massicus raddei. RNAcentral describes it as "partial 16S ribosomal RNA". Lineage: Eukaryota; Metazoa; Arthropoda; Insecta; Coleoptera; Cerambycidae. The record is from RNAcentral.